Molecule: ribosomal RNA, 253 nt
Filed under: uncultured bacterium
Lineage: Bacteria
Description: partial 16S ribosomal RNA
Rfam family: Bacterial small subunit ribosomal RNA
Source: RNAcentral
UACGUAGGGUGCAAGCGUUGUCCGGAAUUAUUGGGCGUAAAGAGCUCGUAGGCGGCCUGUCGCGUCGACCGUGAAAACCCGCAGCUCAACUGCGGGCUUGCGGUCGAUACGGGCAGGCUGGAGUUCGGUAGGGGAGACUGGAAUUCCUGGUGUAGCGGUGAAAUGCGCAGAUAUCAGGAGGAACACCGGUGGCGAAGGCGGUUCUCUGGGCCUGUACUGACGCUGAGGAACGAAAGCGUGGGGAGCGAACAGG